AGAAUCAACGCUGGCGGCGUGCCUAACACAUGCAAGUCGAACGAGAAAGUGGGAGCAAUCCCACGAGUAAAGUGGCGCACGGGUGAGUAACACGUGACUAACCUACCCUUGAGUGGGGGAUAACCUAGGGAAACCUGGGCUAAUACCGCAUAAUACCUACGGGUCAAAGGAGCAAUUCGCUUAAGGAGGGGGUCGCGGCAGAUUAGUUAGUUGGCGGGGUAAUGGCCCACCAAGACAGUGAUCUGU
This 246-nucleotide ribosomal RNA is filed under the name uncultured bacterium. RNAcentral's name for it is "partial small subunit ribosomal RNA". It matches the Rfam family "Bacterial small subunit ribosomal RNA", at positions 26 to 284 of the family's 1533-position model. The record is from RNAcentral.